CACCCUGCUGUCUUCCCACUCAAGCUCCUGAUCAGCUGCAGCCUGCACACCCCUGUCCCUGCUGAGGAAAGCGAGUCAGGACUCUCCCGCAGCAGUUGGGCGGGACAGCGACCGGAAGAUCCGAGGGUGGCCCGAACAACGGUGCUUUCCAGAAGAGGCUAGAUAAUAUCAUCACUGGGGAGAGUAUCUCAUUCACAGUUGUGGUCGUUGAUGUUUGUUUUUGUUUUGUUUUUUGAAAGAGAGAGCGAGCAUGAGUGGAGGGAGGGGGAGAGAAAGAGAGAGAGAGAGGGAGAAUCCCAAGCGGGCUCCGUGCCGAGCUGGGUGCCCCACUCAGGGUUCAAGCUCACGAGUGUGAGAUCAUGACCCGAGCCGAGAUCGAGAGUCAGAAGCCCCCGGGGGGCACGUGGGUGGCUCCGUCGGUUAGGCGUCUGACUCGAGAUUUUGGCUCAGGUCAUGAUCUGCACAGGGUGUGAGUUCGAGGCCCGCAUCAGUCUGUGUGCUGACAGCCCCGUGUCUACUUGGGAUUCUGUCUGCUUCUCUCUCUGCCCCUCCCCUGCUUGCUUCCUAUAUCUCUAUCGAAAUAAAAAAAAAUUAACUUAAAAAAAAAAGAGUCAGAGGCUCAACUGACUGAGCCCCCCAGGCACCCCUUGUUCAUAGUUUUUACAACCCAAAAAGUACGCCCGAGGCCCAGAGAUCCUUCAGGAAGGAGGGAUAGUAUCAGCAAAGGACAACAAAAAUGGGAACGGUUAUUUUUUAAAGGAUCUGAGCUUAUGUUUGCCAAAAAAGAGAAAACAGAAGCCUUCUAUAGGUAUAAGAGAAUGUGGUGCUCUCUUCCACAAGUCCCCUGGCCAUUAAAAAAAAAGGGGGAUUUGGGGCACCUGGGUGGCUGUCGGUUGAACGUCCGGCUUCGGCUCAAGUCAUGAUCUCACGGCUCGUGAGUUCGAGCCCUGCGUUGAGCUCUGUGCUGACAGCUCAGAGCCUGGAGCCUGCUUCGGAUUCUGUGUCUCCCUCUCUCUCCCCCUCCCCUGCUCGUGCUCUGCCUCUCUCUCUCUCUCUCUCUCAAAAAUAAAGAAACAUUAAAAAAAAUUAAAAGAAAAGGGGGAGAAUUCUGGAUUUGAAGAGAGAGAGAGAGAGACGGAAAACAGGGUGAGGCAGAGACUGGAAGACAAGAAGAACCCGACUAAGGAAGGUAAAAUUGUGAGGGUGAGACGGAGAGAAAACGUAUCGGGAGAUACGAUGAGGUCUGCUGGUGGCCCAGGCUGGGGUCGCCCGUAAGGCUUCCCCACCGGCACACGAGGACUGACGCUGGCGCUCACCGCAGCCUCGGCUGGGUCCUGCUCACUUCUCACCACAUCUCAUCCCUGUGCUUCUCUCCUGGUCUACUCGGGGCUCCAAGGCGAGUAACCCAAGGGAGCAAGGUGGAAGCUGAACCUUCCUCUCUGGCCCGGCCCAGGCAAUACUUUGUGGGUCCACGAGUGAGGAAGCUCAGCUCAGAUUCAAGGAGAAGGCACGCAGACGCUUCCUCUGGAUCUGAGGAGUGUUCCAGAAGCUGUGGCUGUGGCUGAAAACCGCCAAGAUGUCCAGUCACGACGUCCCCUGUUCUCGACCUUCAAACCUUCUUGUCUAGCUGGAGCUCUGAAAGUCAACCCAGUGAUCCUUGCAAACGAAUGAAAUAUCCAGGCUCCAGAAAGGUGGGGCGGUAGAAGGAUAUGCACCAAGUGGGGUACAAGGUGCCGUCUGUCUGGCGUGUCGCAGGGCCAUGGCCCCUGGUGUGCCCAAUGCCCAGCAUCUCCGUCAGAUACAGUUUUGACAUCUUCGCGGUGAGGCCUCGUCCACACCCAUGGACUUCCAGGCGGGAUAUGUUGCUCAGCUGCCCACCUUUGUCUGGAUGAAACCGGAUGAUAUUAGGAUCUGGAGCCAUAACAGCACAUCAAGCUUCUGGAUAUUAUCCUGAAGAAGUAAAGAUGGAUGGCCUUCUCUGAUGAGCUUUUUUAGCAACCGGACAGGCGUUCUUUUCCUGCACCUGGUUGGCAUACCGUAUCCUGCUGAAUCUUUUCUGCGCAAGUCUGUGGGUCACUAAGAUGCGGCUACGGGUCUAUAUUAAUAUGGAGAAAUGCAUUGACCAUCAGUGUUAAGGAACAUCUCUCACUGUUGACUAAGAAAAUAAUCAAUCCUGUAGCAAGUACCAACUGGGGACACAAAGUUGGAGGCAUUGACUCUGCUCUCAAGGAACUCCCAGAAGGAGACAGAAAAAGAAUCAACACAGAGUUGUGCACCACAGAGCAAAUGAAACAGCCCGCCAUUACUGAGCACUAACAGGGUGAGUCUCUCUAGCUGAAGACAUCUACUGAAGAGAGUCCAGCUAAUUACAUGCAAGGAUUAACUUCUCAAGGACCCAGAAAAAGGGUGUUGUUUUAUCCAGUUCAGGGAAGACACGGCUUCUUCAUUAACUGCUAAGGUGACGGUGAUGCUGCGGAAAGAAGUCAUACAGGUUUACAGGUCUAAGCUCAACUAUCCCUUCCCCAGGGAAAUCUUCCCUGAAGCCUAGAAAACAUCAGUCCCCUCCUUAUCUACCCCCUGUGCUCCUUCUUCUUUGGGGUACCGCUCACAGUGGAUGCACUGACAGGCCGAGUGUCCAGAAUCGUCCCCAGUAAGGAACCCUCCCAAAGGCUGAGCCACGUGAAGUCUAAAGAGGGAUCGCUGUCAUUCGGAAAACUUGUAUCAGCUUCCUUCUGCGUUGCCUGAACAUCGGUGUCAUCUGGGUAAAGUGUUUUGAGGAAAAUUUAUGCCUCCUCACAAAGAAACAGCUGUGUAUCGCCACAGUCACUAACUUUUGAAAGAUGUUACAGGAAGGUGUUCAUUUCAAGUCAGUUGCUUCAGCUACAGCUUUCCCUUCAUGUUUUAAUAUCAUGGUGUCUCCUUCUGGUCCCCUAAGUGUUACCUGGUUUCUCUGGAGGAGUGGGGGAACCCAGGACCCAUAAGUUAUGGCUCCUAUUAAGAGGGUUGGCUGGACGUGUGGACAAUGUGUCAAUAAUUAUUUCUGGCGGGGCCUUAACAGCAGAGGAAGUGCCUCCGUAGAGUGGCUUAUUUUAACAGAAGACAGAUAUGCCUGACCCGGGUUUUAUGACAGAUGUCAAAUAUAUCGAAGUGUGUUGUGAAGCAGAUCAUCUUAUUGGCAGAGAAAUGAAAGACCACCAGGAAGAUGGAUGGGAAGCUUUCCUCAAGGGGUUUCCCGUCUCCUCACGCAGGUGGGUGGAUCCAGAACUGGGUGUUGGGCUUGGUGGAAGCUGGAUGUCACUUCACACAGUGCUGGGCACAACGUGCAUCCUGGCGAUACCACGAAGAACAAGCUUAAGAAAGCCGAUCUUGUGCCUUGGCUAGGUUUUCCCCUUCAUCACCUGGGCUUUUCACCACGACUGCCUGCAAACAAGAGAUUCUGUCAGAGGGGAAGUGGGAGCCGACUGGUUUCAUUCAUUUCAUCCUCCAAGCCGGCUGCCAAGGUGGUUAAAGGCUUUCUCUACGGAACAGAAAAGGCAAACCUCCCUCGAAGGGAAAAGCAGGAUCUUGUCUCACGUAAGAGACAGGAACAGGGUCCGCCUCAUCCUCAAAAAGGAUUCGAUGCAACUCUUUGGAAAUUAACUUCCUCAGAGCCAAGGAGAGCUAGACUGUUUCCCAGUGGAUUGUGUCCUGCAGUGAGUAGUAAGGAAGCUGCCGUUCCUCUUGGGAUACCUCAUUGGGUACCAUAUACUUCCGGGCAAGGGCGUGGACUCCUUGCGCGUCCAACAUUGUGCCUUGUGCACACUAGUGCCUUCCACUGAUGAGUUGUAUCUGGGGCUGACAAGUAUAUGGCUUCCUUUUUUGGAGACGAUUGUCCCCUCCCAGGGAGGUACAGAUGCAGAGGGUGCUGAUGAGGUUGGGGGCGGGGAGGAAUAAGCCUACCGCUAGGUCGAUUAGAUGACCGAAUCUAGCCUCUUGAGUUAGAGCGGGGCCUUUGGUACCUCUCCCGGGGGAGAUAACACCCCUUUAUCUCAGCUGUCACCCCUACAGCUGCAUGUUCUUUCAAGUCGAUUUGACCGGUCAUGAGAAAUUUUGUAACAAAUAUGCAUUGACACCUGCCAUCUCUAAGGUUCUGAAUGAGAAUACGACGAAAUGGACCUGGAAUCGACAUUGGGUGAGUUGCUGCCAUACGCUAGGUACUCCAGAUGCAAAUAUAAAAGGGCCUAAUAACCUCGUUGGGAAGGGGAGCCUGUGAACAAAUGCGUGCAAUGUUAGAACGAUGGCCCACAGCGGAGCAGCACGGAGGAGUGGCUUGAGGAGAGCUUGAGAGCAGUGCUAACGUUUGAGCUGGGUCUUGAAGUUGUUAGGAAAAGUUCUUCAGAUCGAAACAUUGGGGAACAUACCUUCUGUUCUGAAGGGGCUUCGUGUUUAACUCGACACAAUGAGUAUGUGAUCGCCUCGGAAGGAGCCAUGAACACGGCCAAUUGGUAAUUGGUUGAGGAAGGUGGUGAAUCAUGCGGCUGAGCUGGCGUGGCAGUGAAUGUAUCUGGCAGGACAGCAUUUUCUCAAGCUAUCCUUCGAAGAAUCCUGGUUCCUUGAGGUGGUAAUUGGUAUUAUUUGUGAAAACAGGGGGUUUUAAGGCCAAAUACAAGUAGGGAACGCAGGGUUAGGCUGUUGGAUGGGGUUCUUUCCUGCAGGACUUCUCAGGGCCUUUAAUAUAUGACUCUGCCUUAUACAUUUCCAAGAGCUUGUCUUUUUUUUUUUUUUUUUUUAACUUUUUAACGUUUAUUUAUUAUUGAGAGACACAGGGAGACGGGGCAUGAGCAGGGGAGGGGCAGAGAGGGGGAGAGAGGGAGGGGGACACAGAAUCCGAAGCAGGCUCCAGGCUCUGAGCUGUCAGCACAGAGCCCAACGCGGGGUUUGAACCCAUGAACCUCGAGAACAUGACCGGAGCUGAAGUUGGACGCUUAACUGACCGAGCCAUCCAGUUGCCCCUCCAAGAGCUUGUCUUAAACCUAUUUGUCUUUCCCUAUUCACAGUGUUUUCAGAGUUCCACGGAUCUCAUGGUGGGAAAUACGUCUUUAAGGCAGGAACAGCUGUCAGCUGUCUUUACGAAGUGAACAGUUUCUGGGGUACCUGGGCGGCUCAGUUGGUUGAGCGUCUGACUUUGUUUCAGGUCACGAUCUUGCGGUUCGUGAGUUGUGAGUCCUGUGCUGACAGCUCAGAGCCUGGAGCCUGCUCCGGAUUCUGUGUCUCCCUCUCUCUCUGCCCCUCCCCCCCCCCACCCUGAUCUCUCUCAAAAUAAAUAAACGUUAAAAAAAAUUGAAAAAAGAAGUGAAUAGUUUCUAUUUGAGAAACUGUGGGCACCUGUGAGGAAGAAUACCAAUUGUGAGAGACUGGGUGCAAGGUGGCCUGUAACCAAGUUGUUAAAAAUCUUCUGGGCAGAAGAAUGUAAGGGUCAGAAUCAAGGUACUGAAGACGUAAAGGAGGGAAUGGAACCGAAAGACAAUUAGCGGGUAGAAUG
Long non-coding RNA from Neofelis nebulosa (Clouded leopard), 5521 nucleotides. RefSeq lists it as uncharacterized. The transcript is spliced from 13 exons. The record is from RefSeq and is a predicted model, not a curated record. Lineage: Eukaryota; Metazoa; Chordata; Mammalia; Carnivora; Felidae.